Molecule: transfer RNA, 72 nt
Filed under: Cyprichromis leptosoma
Lineage: Eukaryota; Metazoa; Chordata; Actinopteri; Cichliformes; Cichlidae
Description: tRNA-Val
Rfam family: tRNA
About the family: Transfer RNA (tRNA) molecules are approximately 80 nucleotides in length. Their secondary structure includes four short double-helical elements and three loops (D, anti-codon, and T loops).
Source: RNAcentral
CAGAGUGUAGCUAAGCUAGAAAAGCAUCUCCCUUACACUGAGAAGUCGCCCGUGCAAACCGGACCACCCUGA